UUCAAAACUGUUGCAGUCUUAUGGAGCUAACCGAGUAUUUGAUGCUUUCCACAUGCUGCAGACUGAACCUUCUAUUCAGGUACCCUACUAGUGUGCCUUCAGGAUUAUUUUGAAACUGAUUAGUGGACACGUGGAUAUCAGAAAUAGUUGCUUAAUAUCAUAUCUUAAUUACUAGUGUGCCGUCAGGAUUAUUUUGAAACUGAUUAAUGGACACAUGGAUAUCAGAAAUAGUUGCUUAAUAUCAUAUCUUAAUUUGAUUGUUAUUUUUGUGAAAUAACUAGUAGUUUAGACUUUUCGAAAUAAAAUCUGAAUCCUCUUGAUGAGCUAUUUUCAAUAAAUGAGGUGGUGGCUAAACAGACUGUCUCUUGGAAAAAAGUAGUUGAAGUAAUUUCUUAGUUACAAUUGUGUUAGAGUUCAUGUAGCUUUUAUUGUUCGUAACUUAUUGGCUCACAAGAUUUUGGAG
RNAcentral lists this long non-coding RNA (463 nucleotides) under Nicotiana benthamiana. RNAcentral describes it as "long non-coding RNA (NBEN_LNC006899)". The record is from RNAcentral. Lineage: Eukaryota; Viridiplantae; Streptophyta; Magnoliopsida; Solanales; Solanaceae.